UAAACCCAGGAUGAAAAGCACAGAAGUAGCAUCAAUAGACGUCUACUACGCCAUUGGCCCCAUCUGGGACCAAGUGGAAGAAAGAAAAACUUUUGGAAAAACCAAAGAAAAUAAAUCAAUAUUGUCUGUGAUCUCCUUGAAGACAAGCACCACAUUUUCUCUAUUGUUGGGUAUCCAGUACUUAGCAACAUGCCUGGCAUUUGGUAAGUUCUUUAUAAAAGCAGAAUUAAGUAAUUAAAUGAGACUAGGGAUCUGGUAAAUAAUAUCUAUUGUUAGUUUCAUCUAGGCAUUUUCCAGUUGCUUAGGGCAUAUUUGAGUAGAUAAGACUAAGCUGGUACCAAGAACUAAAUCUUUUAAGAAGCAAGUGUGCUGUCUUGAUACUCUCCAUUAACUAUUCUAUUUAUGUCAUAUUUGAGUAGAUAAGACUGGGCUAGUACCAAAACCAAAACUUUUAAGAAGCAAGCGUGCUGACUUCAUUUUCUACAUUCACUGCUCUUCCAACUAGAUGGGGAUGGCAAUGAAACUCUAGAGAGCUCCAGUCACAAGCUGGUAGGUACCUGGGUCUGUGAAUUACUGCGAUGAAAGAUUAAUGCCAGCCAAUAAUAAUCUCCAGUUGAGAUUUCUUUAUUACAUAUUAUGCCAUCUUUUUGUUACUAUAGUUUAGCCUACUUUAAAUCAUGUAAUUUGUCCACACCCAUUUGGCUCAAAAGCACAAUACCAGCUUUGUCAACAUCUCAGGAUGAUAAGGGAGAACUAUGGUUUAAAAAGUUUUCAGUGAAAAUGGAUGUGCUUUAUAGUUUAUAAUGCUUUGAUAUACAUUGGUUUGUAUGAUCCUCCCAACAACCCCAUAAAAUAGGCAGAGUAGAUAUUCUUUUCUCAUCUGGUAGUAAGAAACUCAAUGAUCAAGAAGAUUAAACAAUUUGUCUAAAUAUACUGAGUGCUAGGUUUAGAACUCAAGAGUAAAUCCUUUUAUUUCAAAGUCUUCGCUUUUCUCAUUGUAAAUAUGCUGAACGUCUGCCUCUGUACAAAAUAUUUUCUUGAUGGAUAACUUUAUGCAGAAAUUCUCCCAGGGGAUUAGAGAUUAUUUUAGGAGAUUCAGCUCACUUGAAUUCUAAAUGUGGAAUUUAAA
Molecule: long non-coding RNA, 1129 nt
Filed under: Vulpes vulpes (red fox)
Lineage: Eukaryota; Metazoa; Chordata; Mammalia; Carnivora; Canidae
Description: lncRNA (ENSVVUG00000015075.1)
Source: RNAcentral